GUAUAAUAUAUGGGCCUCUGAAUUCACUCUUCUUUCCAAACAAGAUCUGCAUUGAUCACCAUUGGAGAGACAGUGAGGUAUAGCCUCAGUUUCUCGCUAAGUUGAGGCUUUGUGAGCAAUGAUGGAGAACUGAGAUAUUAUUUUAAUUCCUUAAAUACUUUUUGGUAUUCAAUGGUCCAUUAGAAGUCUUUUGGCUAUCUGAGGAUCUGAAAAAAUGAAAAACACCUCUCGAUCGAUCUAGAGAUGAAGUGGUUGAGCAAAGCGAUCCUGCCAGUGAGAUGCUACACCUUUCCAACUAUUUUCAGUGGAGUCAUCUCAAGGAUUGUCCUGAUCUUCUCGGGAUUCGCCUCAAUACCUCUUCGUGAGAUCAUGAAUCUCAAGAAUUUUUUAAUGGUAACUCCUAAGGUGCAC
RNAcentral lists this long non-coding RNA (411 nucleotides) under Elaeis guineensis (African oil palm). RNAcentral describes it as "long non-coding RNA (EGUI_LNC002044)". The record is from RNAcentral. Lineage: Eukaryota; Viridiplantae; Streptophyta; Magnoliopsida; Arecales; Arecaceae.